CGGGGGAUGCGGGCAGUCGCGGAGGACCCGAAAGGGCUUCCGAGGAAAGUCCGAACUCCGCAGAGCAGCGUGCCGGCUAACCGCCGGGCGGACUCCCGGAAGGGAGGGCCGACGGAAAGUGCCACAGAAACCAGACCGCCAAUCCGCUCGUGUGAGCCUGAGCUCGCACGAGGUCAUGGAGGCAAGGGUGAAAGGGUGGGGUAAGAGCCCACCAGCACCUCGGGUAACCGGGGUGGCUUGGCAAACCCCACGCGGAGCAAGACCAAAUAGGGAUGGAGACCCUGCUGCAAGGGUAACGGGUGGCUCGCCCGUGCGGGUGCUGAAGCACCUCCUCCAUCCGGGUAGGUCGCUGGAGGACAUGGGAAACCAUGUUCCCAGAUACAUGACUGCCUCCCCCAAGUUUGGGGCAGACAGAAUUCGGCUUAUAGCAUCCCCCGCUUU
Molecule: RNase P RNA, 441 nt
Filed under: Pseudomonadota bacterium
Lineage: Bacteria; Pseudomonadati; Pseudomonadota
Also listed under: 1 other name
Description: RNase P RNA component class A
Rfam family: Bacterial RNase P class A
About the family: Ribonuclease P (RNase P) is a ubiquitous endoribonuclease, found in archaea, bacteria and eukarya as well as chloroplasts and mitochondria. Its best characterised activity is the generation of mature 5'-ends of tRNAs by cleaving the 5'-leader elements of precursor-tRNAs.
Source: RNAcentral